Molecule: ribosomal RNA, 484 nt
Filed under: uncultured bacterium
Lineage: Bacteria
Description: partial 16S ribosomal RNA
Rfam family: Bacterial small subunit ribosomal RNA
Source: RNAcentral
AUUGAACGCUGGCGGCAGGCCUAACACAUGCAAGUCGAGCGGAUGAAGGGAGCUUGCUCCUGGAUUCAGCGGCGGACGGGUGAGUAAUGCCUAGGAAUCUGCCUGGUUGUGGGGGAUAACGUCCGGAAACGGGCGCUAAUACCGCAUACGUCCUGAGGGAGAAAGUGGGGGAUCUUCGGACCUCACGCUCUCAGAUGAGCCUAGGUCGGAUUAGCUAGUUGGUGGGGUAAGGGCCUACUAAGCAGACGAUCCGUAACUAGUCUGACAGGAUGGUCAGUCACACUAGAGGUGAGACACGGACCAGACUCCUGCGGGAGGCAGCAGUGGGGAAUAUUGGACAAUGGGCGAAAGCCUGAUCCAGCGGGGGCGCGUGUGUGAAGAAGGUCUUCGGAUUGUAAAGCACGUUAAGUGGGGAGAAAGCGCAGUAAGUUGAUACCUAGCUGUUUUGACGUUAACAACAGAAUAAGCACCGGCUAACUACGUG